Molecule: transfer RNA, 72 nt
Filed under: Camelus bactrianus (Bactrian camel)
Lineage: Eukaryota; Metazoa; Chordata; Mammalia; Artiodactyla; Camelidae
Also listed under: 2 other names
Rfam family: tRNA
About the family: Transfer RNA (tRNA) molecules are approximately 80 nucleotides in length.
Source: Rfam by way of RNAcentral
GCAGGUAUAGCUCAGUGGUAGAGUGCUUGCUUAGCAUGCAUAGGGUCCUAGGUUCAAUCCCCAGUACCUCUG